Molecule: non-coding RNA, 237 nt
Organism: Pelobates cultripes (western spadefoot toad)
Lineage: Eukaryota; Metazoa; Chordata; Amphibia; Anura; Pelobatidae
Source: the annotation of a GenBank genome assembly
AUACGAACAAGGAAAGUUAACUAUUUCAGCUUUCAUCCCCCCUCUUUGAGCAAUACAUUGCUCAUCUUAUCGGUUAAAAUCUUCCCAGGACAGAGACACUUCCACAUUAUGGUAUUCCCAAGCAAUCAUGUGGUCUACAAGAAACAGAAACUCAGCAGGAAAAAAGACACUUUUUUUUUUGGAUGUUUAAGACAAAAUGGAACUUGGGCUUAUAGCAAAUAUAUUAUUGCAAAUAGC